This 468-nucleotide ribosomal RNA is filed under the name uncultured bacterium. Its description in RNAcentral is "partial 16S ribosomal RNA". It matches the Rfam family "Bacterial small subunit ribosomal RNA", at positions 28 to 507 of the family's 1533-position model. The record is from RNAcentral.
GACGAACGCUGGCGGCGUGCUUAACACAUGCCAGUCGAACGGACAGGCCCUGCUCUUGUGGGGUGCUCGAGUGGCGAACGGGUGAGUAACACGUGAGUAACCUGCCCUUGACUUUGGGAUAACUUCAGGAAACUGGGGCUAAUACCGGAUAGGAGCUCCUGCUGCAUGGUGGGGGUUGGAAAGUUUCGGCGGUUGGGGAUGGACUCGCGGCUUAUCAGCUUGUUGGUGGGGUAGUGGCUUACCAAGGCUUUGACGGGUAGCCGGCCUGAGAGGGUUACCGGCCACAUUGGGACUGCGAGACGGCGCAGACGCGAACGGGAGGCAGCAGGGGGGAAUAUUGCACAAUGGGCGGAAGCCAGAUGCAGCAACGCCGCGUGCGGGAUGACGGCCUUCGGGUUGUAAACCGCUUUCGCCGGUGACGAAGCGUGAGUGACGGUAACGGGUAAAGAAGCACCGGCUAACUACGUG